This 365-nucleotide long non-coding RNA is filed under the name Salvator merianae (Argentine black and white tegu). Its description in RNAcentral is "lncRNA (ENSSMRG00000019560.1)". The record is from RNAcentral. Lineage: Eukaryota; Metazoa; Chordata; Lepidosauria; Squamata; Teiidae.
CUUAGGAAAGUAACAGGCUCUGAACAUGGAAUAAUUUUGCAAUGGGGUUUGUUUGGCUUUACAGUUAAAAGAAAACAUUUUUAGUGUCUUGGGGGAAAAAUCUUUAUCUCAUGUCCUGUUUGUUUAAUUUUAUUUAGAUAUUUCUAUCCCACUUUUCCCCUACAGGACUGCAAGUGAUGAGCAUUAUCCUGCUCCACUUAUUUUAUCAUCACAACCAUUAAUCCAGGGUCUCAAGACAAGCUGAGAAACAGUGGCUGGACCAAGACCACCCAGAGAGCUUCACAGAUAGGAACUGNCCAGACCCACAAAAUUCAGUUCAGGACACACUGGUGAACUUUUCUAAAAGAUUCUCUUCCUUCUGUGAU